Myotis myotis is the source of this 1093-nucleotide long non-coding RNA. RefSeq lists it as uncharacterized. The record is from RefSeq and is a predicted model, not a curated record. Lineage: Eukaryota; Metazoa; Chordata; Mammalia; Chiroptera; Vespertilionidae. The transcript has 2 exons.
GCCCCUCCACCUCUCUGCCCCCCUCCCUGCCUCCAGGGCUAUUCUGGGCGAGGACCAGUCCGGUUAAUCCCCUUAAUCGAGGGCUGUGCUGCCCAGUGCCCUGCAGACCCUGUAAAGGGCAGUCUGAGGGUUAGGGCUGCAGCGUGGGAGGCUCCCGGCACCCCCAUCCCUGCAGCACCCCAUCCCCGUGGCACCCCAUCCCUGCGGCACCCCAUCCCUGUGGGGAUUCCUGGGUGCUGGGCAUGACCAGGGCAGGUGGGGGAGGAAGGUCAGGAGGCUGGCCCAGGGGGAGCUCUCAAGUCCCACCCGCCCCGCAGUUUGCGUGGGCCAGAGCCUCCUCCAGCCGCCGCCUGCCCCGCGGUGCCCCGGCCUGUGACCGGCCCUGGUGAGGGAGGCAGGAGCCGGGAGGAGGCUGAGGCUCUCACUCCACUUGGGACGGACGAGGACACACGAGCUGACCCGCUGGGGAUCCAGUUCCCGAAACCUGAGCUGAGGGCCGGGUUUCACGCGCCGUGGGCUGCACACCUGCCCGGCCCCAUCCUCCACCUGAGGGAGGGCCAGGGCGCACAGCACUCAUGAGACCAUCAUGAACCUCGGGGCGCCUUCGCCCCAGGAAGACCCAGAGCUUAAGACACAGCUGGGCCUGCCUUGCCGCUGUUGGCACCCAAGUGAGCGAGGGAAAUGUCACACACAGAAGCUGGGGCGACAGCCCACCUCCAGCCGCAGCCCCUGGAGUGUGAGUGGGCCCAGGCCCUUCCACCCACGCCCCCCACUCCCCCUCCACGCCCCCCACUCCCUUGUAGUGUUUUAACGCGGAUUCCCUAACCCCCCGGUUUUCCGGGAAUACUUCAGUUUUCCUGUCUUCAAGGCGAGGACCCUUUACAACAGUGGUUCUCAACCUUCCUCAUGCCGCGGCCCUUUCAUACGGUUCCUCAUGUUGUGGGGACCCCCAACCAUAAGGUUAUUUUCGUGGCUACGUCAUCACUGCCAUGUUGCUACUGUUAUGAAUCGCCAUGUACAUAUCUGAUAUGCAGGAUGUAUUUUCACUGUUACAAAUUGAACAUCAUUAAAGCACAGCGAUGAAUCACAAAAA